UUAUUUAUUAGUUUUUUAGGUUAACUGAGGUAUGUAUUAUCAUUUAUUAGUUUUAAUACGUUUCAUUUCUUCUCUAUAGUGAUCAUCAACUUAGGUUAAACAUGAAUAAACAAGAUAACAUGCUGUGUGAUUUUUUUAUGCCUUUACCAUACGAUGACAUUUUUCUGAUUUCGAUCUAAGUAUACCGAUGAGUUAUAAAUCGUUCUCUUUAUCCUGGUAUUAUAACAGACAAUAAUUUAGCUAAGUAUGUGGCUCUACAUUUUUUAUUCCAAUCAAAGACCGUAACACGUCCAAGAGAAAAAGUCCAUUACAGCAUCGGAUCUAUGCAUAUAAAUUUCAUUUUUCAAUGGGUUAACGAUAUAAAGAUUUCUUUUAACUAAUGUUUCCUUCAUAGAGAGUCUAUGUGAAUUAUUAUGCGAAUAAAAUGCAGCCACAAUUACAAGGAAUAAUCAAUACCAGAAUCUGUUAAAAGAGAGCAUAUAACUUUCCACAACGAUAAGAAAGAACUGACAACACUGCAAUCAUGAAAGAUUUUGGAAGACACCGCCUUCUUUUUACCACACUUCAAAGAAACCAUAUGCAUUUAUUUAUAUAAUAUACAGUGACAAUAACAGUGAGAUAAUUCUCCAUGACGUAACGGAAAUUUUUUAGACUUGUAAAUCAAUGGAAACUAAAUUUUAAAUGUUUCUCAGUUAUUCAAGUCAUUGGACACGAAACAUGAAAUUGACAUAGUUUUAAGAAUCAAUACCAAUUCUGAUAAUGAAACUUAAACUCCAACCUCAAUGAUGGGAAACGAGCUAAAUCAAGAUUCAUGGAAUGUAUCUGAUUACGCAAAUAAUGUUGUUGUAUACAUUGCUGGCAAAAGUAUCAAAGCAUUUUGAGUGUGACAUAUGCUGGGAGAGUCUAAUCCAAAAUCAGGUCUUUUGGGCUUCUAGAGAAUAAAAGAUCAAGGAGGAUUACUUUCAGUUUUGGAGGACGUGGUAAAACAUGUAUGAUAGCUGAAAAAAUUUUCUUUUUUUAUUGUCGAGCUCAUUAUUACUAUAUUGGUUAGAGAGUUUUCUGUCCACAUUUAUGAUAACGAUAAUCAUGCAUUUGAACAAACCAUCUUAUCGGAUCAUAAAAUGCAGCUUCUAAAGCUCAUGUUAAAAAAAUAUUUAGUAAAAUAUCAGAUUAUACCACGGAGGAGUAUUUAAGCAUAAUUCAAUUUAGUGACUUACAAACAAGUAUAAUAAUAUAUUAUUUUUAAGAUUCCGUUAAUUUGAUUUAAUAUUCUGUCUAUAAAGUUGCAUAAUUACAGUAUGCAUAUAUUCAUUGCACUAUUUAAAAAAAAUUAGGUUUCAAAAAAAGCCGUCUCUAGUUAUUAAAUGUAUUACAGAUAGUGUGUGUGUGCAUAAAUACAUGAUGUAUUGUAAAUUUUUUAUUCUUUCGGUCUUAUUUGAGCUGUAGAAAGGAAAUUAGGAAAUUUGACAGAUAUCAACAACUGAUAAGGUUGAGUUGCCGCCUACCGAGUUCUUUAAAUUCUGUACCAUUAUUCGUACACAGGUACUUCCCUUACUGCGAAACUAGUCUAUGCAGAGAGAAAUAAAACAUAGUUUCUCUA
This 1600-nucleotide long non-coding RNA is filed under the name Polistes fuscatus (common paper wasp). RNAcentral describes it as "uncharacterized LOC122513760, transcript variant X3". Lineage: Eukaryota; Metazoa; Arthropoda; Insecta; Hymenoptera; Vespidae. The record is from RNAcentral.